RNAcentral lists this ribosomal RNA (368 nucleotides) under uncultured organism. RNAcentral describes it as "bacterial SSU rRNA". It matches the Rfam family "Bacterial small subunit ribosomal RNA", at positions 526 to 896 of the family's 1533-position model. The record is from RNAcentral.
CGUAGGUGGCAAGCGUUGUCCGGAUUUAUUGGGUUUAAAGGGUGCGUAGGCGGUCUUGUAAGUCAGUGGUGAAAUACGGCAGCUUAACUGUCGAGGUGCCAUUGAUACUGCAGGACUUGAGUACAGACGAGGUAGGCGGAAUUGACGGUGUAGCGGUGAAAUGCUUAGAUAUCGUCAAGAACACCGAUAGCGAAGGCAGCUUACUAGACUGUAACUGACGUUGAUGCACGAAAGUGUGGGGAUCAAACAGGAUUAGAUACCCUGGUAGUCCACACUGUAAACGAUGAUUACUCGAUGUUGGCGAUACACAGCCAGCGUCUUAGCGAAAGCGAUAAGUAAUCCACCUGGGGAGUACGCCGGCAACGGUG